RNAcentral lists this long non-coding RNA (1387 nucleotides) under Elaeis guineensis (African oil palm). RNAcentral's name for it is "long non-coding RNA (EGUI_LNC060767)". The record is from RNAcentral. Lineage: Eukaryota; Viridiplantae; Streptophyta; Magnoliopsida; Arecales; Arecaceae.
CCAUUUCAAACUCUUGGGUAUUGGAUACUACCUGUGGUUUUCAUAUCUACAAAUCAUUGCAGGGGCUGCAGAAAAUUAAAAAUUUGAGGAAGGGAGACUUCGAGCUCUAUGGUGCUGGAGGAGAUUUUAUCCAAGCAGAAGCUGUAGGGACAUAUAUCUUGAAGUUUCUUUCUGGGAAGAUCUUAGAGCUAACAAAUUAUUAUUACAUGCCUAAGAUCAUUAGAAAUAUUGUAUAUGUACCCUUGUUGAUAAAACAAGGAUAUCAAAUAUUUGUAAUGAGCAAUGGUUGCUCGAUUAAUUUUUCUAAUGAAAUAAUUUGCCAUGACAUCUUUGACAAUGGUUUGUUGACUCUAUGUUUGAAUAAUAAUAUUUUUCAUGUUGAUGAAAAUAGUAAACGUAAGAGAGAUAAUAUAAAUAAUACCUUACUUUGGCAUUGUCGACUUGAUCAUAUUAGUGAGGCUAGGAUUAACAAGUUGUACAAAGAAAAGUUGUACAAAGAGAGAUAAUGUAAAUAAUACCUUACUUUGGCAUUGGGACAGCUGGAUUUUGCCAUGAAUGGUGAACUAAGCCAGGAUUAGAUCCUGUAGUCUCUCCCUGACUCCUUUUCUCAAUUUGUCAUAAAUUAUCAUAUGAACAAACUGAACAUCAACCUGCCACAACUGCUGAACAUGCUGAAAACAACAGAGAGCCAUUUCAAGGGUGAAAAGGCUCCGAUACGUCUUUUUGAUAAGAUCUACAAGAAGAAGACAAAGAAGGGUUCUAAGAAAAAGAUGAAUCCUAAGGCUGGCAUCUCCAAGAAGAAGAUGAAGAAGGUCUCCGUCAAAGGUACUUGCUAUCACCGUGGCAAUAAGAGCCACUGAAAAAUAAAUUACAAGGAGUACCUUACAACCGUGAAACCGACAAACGUUGUUAAAGAUUUAUAUAUGAUACAAACUAAUUUAUCAUUAAGUACUUCAAUGUCAAAUUUUUGAGUAUUGGAUACCAUCUGUGGCUCAUAUCUUUGCAAAUCAUUGCAGGGUCUAUAAGAAAUAAAGAGUUUGAAUAAAUGUGACUUCGAGCUGUUUGGUGCUAGUGGAGAGUUCAUUCAGACCGAAGCCAUAGAAACCAAGAUUUUGGAAUUGCCUUCAAGCAAAAUUUUGAAACUAAAGACCUGUUAUUAUAUUCUAAAUAUCGUUAGAAAUAUUAUUUCUAUACUAUUGUUAUUAGAACAAAAUUUUGAAAUAAAUAUAAAGAACAAUGGUUGUUCUAUAUAUUUUUUUAAUGAAUAUUAUGAAAGUACUUUUAUUAAUAAUGGUUUUUUUUUCAUUUAAUGAUAAUAUAUUUCAUAUUGAUAAUAUGAAAAAAAGAAAGAGAAAGGAUGUAAAUAUCACAUAGCUCUAGUAUUGCU